ACGUAGGGUGCAAGCGUUAAUCGGAAUUACUGGGCGUAAAGCGCAUGCAGAUGGUUUGACAAGUCGGAUGUGAAAGCCCCGGGCUUAACCUGGGAACGGCACUCGAAACUGUCAGACUAGAAUGUGGAAGAGGGAAGUGGAAUUCCGGGUGUAGCAGUGAAAUGCGUAGAUAUCCGGAGGAACAUCAGUGGCGAAGGCGACUUCCUGGUCCAACAUUGACAUUCAGAUGCGAAAGCGUGGGGAGCAAACAGGAUUAGAUACCCUGGUAGUCCACGCCUUAAACGAUGCGAACUAGAUGUCGGAAGGGUCAGCCUUUCGGUGUCGCAGCUAACGCGAUAAGUUCGCCGCCUGGGGAGUACGGCCGCAAGGUUG
Molecule: ribosomal RNA, 372 nt
Filed under: uncultured bacterium
Lineage: Bacteria
Description: bacterial SSU rRNA
Rfam family: Bacterial small subunit ribosomal RNA
Source: RNAcentral